Molecule: long non-coding RNA, 2645 nt
Filed under: Olea europaea subsp. europaea
Lineage: Eukaryota; Viridiplantae; Streptophyta; Magnoliopsida; Lamiales; Oleaceae
Source: RNAcentral
CAGAGAGAGAAAACGGAAAUUGUGGAGUUUAGAGAGAGAAAGUAGGAAAUGUGGAGAGAGUCUGUUAGGGUUUCUGGAAAUGGACUACCCUGAAUCUACCAUACCCUCCGCAGGGGACGCUACUGAAACUGUUCCCGUCCAAGUACAAGAACGGAACUCUAUACCUUUUCUAUAAAUAAAAUAUGUAAAAUUGGGGAAUUUUAUACCUUUUUUUUUCAUACGAUUUCGUUUGGGUUAAUUAAUUUUUUUUUAUGAAAUUUACACACAUGGACACAAAAUGUAUGCCAUUUAGAUGUGUAAAUUUAUAGCAUUUUUUUAGUUUUUACUUGACUUUAUGUGCAUAAAUUAAUUUUAAGCUGAUUUGCACUAUUUUGGUAAUGGGGUGAGGAUUUUAGUUGAAUUUUUAGAUGGGUAUUGUAAUUUUAUAUCUGUGUAAUGUGUUUUCCCUUUUGGUAAAUUUAGAUACUAUGUGGCACUGUACUCGGUCUCAUAUCAUUUAAUUUUUCGUUCUCCCAAGAAAUGCAUCUGGUUCAUGUUUUUGACAGUUAACUUAAACCAAUCUGCUCUAGCAUCUUAUCAUACUCUACUCAUCUAUACAGAAGCACAUAUGUUGCAUGGACCAUUCAUCGAUGCUUUGAAUUGUGAAGUAAGAUUAUCCUGUUAAAACAAUCUGUAAAAUUGAUGCCAAAUGUAAUUUGAAGCAUAAUUCUCUUAGGCAUUAUUUAAUCUUUGUGAACAAUGGUUUAAACUAUAUUGUUUGUUAUCGAUUUCUAUUAGAAGUGCUUAAUUUGAUUUGGAUUUUUUUUUUUUUUAAAGAAAAAGAAAUUCAACAUGUUGCAUCAAUUGUGCUGAGCUUUAGGUAGUUCGGAUUUUGACUUUCUUCAAUUUUGGUGCCAUAUGACACAUGCUAAAAAUGAUAGAAGGUACUCUGUUUAUUGAUGUCGAUAACAUUUUGGUCGCAGUCAUACAUGUCAAUGGAUCUUAAGAGCAUAUGUCAUAGUUAUAUGAUAAUAAACCAAUAUUUAGAGAGGAUGCACAUGUAUCUCCAAUUUAUAUGGAUAGAGAAGUUUGUUGAAUUAUAACCUUUAGCACUCACAUUAAUUGAAAAAAUUAUAAGCAUUUUUGCACAUAUAAAUCACAUACUAAGUUCUAGUAGAUUUUAUUUAAAUGGCAAGUAUAGAAAAUAAUUUUUGCUUGGAUUCUAGUGAAACAAUAUCUUGGAGUGAAGAAAGUAAUUUUUGCUUGGGUUCUAGGGAAACAAUAUCUUGGAAUUUUGAAAAUUGCUCUUUGUUAAAUCAGGUAUUAAACAUUACUAGAAAUUUUAACUCACAAGGUUUGUACAAAUUUAUUAGGCUGCUCAACACCAUGGCUUGCAUGUACGUAGUCUCCAGUUUGAAGAUGCUCAGCAGAAAGUAGUAACAAAUAGGCAUGUACAAAACACUUCAGGUAUUGAAAAUAGUUCUAGGCCACUUGCCUCUUCUGCAGAUAGAGGGGGCCCCAAAUCACUAUCCUUGGAGACACCAUCAACUCCCAUUCGUCGGGUUGGUAUGACCCAGCAUACGGAUUAUCCUGGAAAUAGUGGGAAUUAUAGCAUAAAUUUUCCAAAGCCCGUAGGUAUUGGCUUGCACCUAAAUAGCAUUGUCAGCACUACGCAAGCAGGAACUGGAGAAACUGUAAUUGUGAAAUCAUCUGAAAAGGGUAUUUUAAGUAUACGGAAUGAGCAACAAGUGACUACUCUGAGCUCUCAUCUAUCUGAAAACUCAAAGAACUCUUCAUAUUUGUCUGUGUUGGAGAGUGUUCUCGGAAGUCCUGAUGAAAGUAGGCGUGAAAGUGAUCAUGCCUUGGUGGCAGCUAAUUCUGCUAUUUCUGUGUCCACUUAUGACGCAAAACCUUUGGACAACCCUAUGGUCUGUAAUCCAAUUGAGGAUCAAUCAACUCCAGUUAACAAGAGGAAGUCUAACGCUGGAAAUGCUGAUGAUGCAGAGGAGUUUAACAAGUCAAGCCCCAAAAGGAAGAGGCAAGCCUACAACUUAUCUUAUGAAUAAUGAGUUUUAUUAGUUGUCUCCAUUUUUACUACAUUAUUUUAGCUGCAAUUUUUCCAGGAAGAAAACACCCGAGUCCAAUGAUGAUUACAGUAGCAAACUUUGCAACUGCAAGAAGUCUAAAUGCUUGAAGCUGUAAGCGCAUAAAAUGUUUUCUUACAAAUUUAGAUUUACACUUCUAUCACGUGCUUUUGUAAUUUGUUUCCUUGUAGUUACUGUGAUUGCUUUGCUGCUGGAAUAUAUUGUGCGGAACCUUGUUCUUGCCAAGGGUGCUAUAACAGGCCUGAAUAUGAGGAUACGGUUCUAGAGACACGCCAACAAAUUGAAUCUCGCAAUCCUCUGGCAUUUGCUCCAAAGAUAGUACAGAACUUCAUUUAUCCAUCUUCAAGCAUUUGUGGGGUAUUGAGGCAUCGAAAUUUAUAAUUUUGCUGUACAACAGUGCAAUGUUAACUGAAUUAUUAAGUUGAAAUGUUCACAGGAAGAUGAGACUCAGUUAUCAAAGCCCUCCAUAAGGCACAAAAGAGGGUGCAAUUGCAAGAAGUCGAUGUGCCUCAAAAAGUACUGUGAGUGCUAUCAGGUACGUGGGUGUGCUUAUGGGCAUGA